RNAcentral lists this transfer RNA (85 nucleotides) under Lentimicrobiaceae bacterium. Its description in RNAcentral is "tRNA-Ser". It matches the Rfam family "tRNA". From Rfam's summary of the family: Transfer RNA (tRNA) molecules are approximately 80 nucleotides in length. Their secondary structure includes four short double-helical elements and three loops (D, anti-codon, and T loops). The record is from RNAcentral. RNAcentral also lists the same sequence under 1 other name. Lineage: Bacteria; Pseudomonadati; Bacteroidota; Bacteroidia; Bacteroidales; Lentimicrobiaceae.
GGAAAGUUGGCAGAGUGGUCGAUUGCGGCGGUCUUGAAAACCGUUGAGGCGCGAGUCUCCGGGGGUUCGAAUCCCUCACUUUCCG